This 97-nucleotide ribosomal RNA is filed under the name Phlebia aurea. RNAcentral's name for it is "partial 5.8S ribosomal RNA". It matches the Rfam family "5.8S ribosomal RNA", at positions 58 to 154 of the family's 154-position model. From Rfam's summary of the family: 5.8S ribosomal RNA (5.8S rRNA) is a component of the large subunit of the eukaryotic ribosome. It is transcribed by RNA polymerase I as part of the 45S precursor that also contains 18S and 28S rRNA. The record is from RNAcentral. Lineage: Eukaryota; Fungi; Basidiomycota; Agaricomycetes; Polyporales; Meruliaceae.
AUAAGUAAUGUGNUUGCAGAAUUCAGUGAAUCAUCGAAUCUUUGAACGCACCUUGCGCUCCUUGGUAUUCCGAGGAGCAUGCCUGUUUGAGUGUCAU